This is a long non-coding RNA of Oncorhynchus gorbuscha (pink salmon), 1400 nucleotides long. RefSeq lists it as uncharacterized. The record is from RefSeq and is a predicted model, not a curated record. NCBI's taxonomy places the organism in Eukaryota, Metazoa, Chordata, Actinopteri, Salmoniformes, Salmonidae. The transcript has 3 exons.
CCGGGACAAAGUUGCGGGGAAGUACAGAUCAGGCUUGUGUUAUUAAAAAAUAUCCGAAACUUAGAACAUCCCACAGAGCACCAUUAAACCCAUUAUUUAAAAAUGGAGAGAAUAUGGCACCACAACAAACCUGCCAAGAGAGGGACACCCACCAAAACUCACAGACCAGGCAAGGAGGGCAUUAAUCAGAGAGGCAACAAAGAGCCCAACGAGAACCCUGAAGUGUUAAUGUUUUUAAAGGUCUUUCUGUAACCAGGGGUCCUCUGAGGCUGCGGGUACACAGUGGGGGAGCUGGUGCAGUGGGCUGACCUCAGUGCCUCUCUCCAACAUCCUGAGCCACAAUCUGAUCUUCACCACCUCCCAGAACCACCUGCACAGCGCGCCGACAACUCAGGGAUGACCUGGAGGACGAGGCACAGGGCGAUCCGGAUAGAGACGCCGACGCCGCCUUGAUGUCCAGAGGGGGCGGAGGAACCUCCCCCACCUCAGACUCCUGGAGUGGACCAGCCACCACCGGCCUGAGGAGAGACGCAUGGAAUGAGGGGUUAAUACGGUAAUCUGGUUGAAGCUGUAACCUGUAGCAAACCUCGUUCAGUCUCCUCAGGACUUUGAAUAGCCCCACAAACCGCGGGUCCAGCUUCCAGCAGGGUAGGCGGAGGGGCAGGUUUCGGGUCGAGAGCCAGACCCAGUCCCCCGGUACAAACACCGGGGCCUCACUGUGGUGGCGGUCUGUGCUCGCUUUCUGACGCCUCACGCCUGCUGAAGAUGCAAAUGAGCGGGUCCAAUGUCUCCUCUGAGCGCCUAAACCAGUCGUUAAUGACAUGACUAAAUAUUCAUAAUGCCCUGAGGUGGUACUUAAUGCUGUCUUCCACUAGUCUCCCUCUCGGAUAUGCACCAGGUUAUACGCACUCCUGAGAUCCAGUUUCGUGAAGAAGCGCGCCCCAUGCAUUGACUCAAUCGCCAUGGCGAUAAGAGGUAGCGGGUAACUGUACCUCACCAUGAUUUGAUUGAGACCUCUAUAGACAAUGCACGGGCAUAGACCUCCAUCCUUCUUCUUCACAAAAAAGAAACUUGAGGAGGCGGGUGAAGUAGAGGACCAAAUGUACCCCUGACACAGGGAUUCGGAGACAUAUGUCUCCGCCUCCGUCUCCGCUUGCAACAGGGGAUUACACGUGACUCCUGGGAAGCGCAGCGUCUGCCAGGAGAUUUAUCGCACAUGAAAAAUCAUGGAAACAAACAGAUACAAACCGGUGGUCAACAGAGAACUCUGGAUGAGUGUGGUGCGAACUCGCCUGGGGUGACCCCAGAGUGCCCUGCCUGUUGCCUCGACUCCCAGAGGAACCCACAGGGCACCGACCGGCAGUGUGCCCUCUGCGGCCACAGAUGGUGCACGUGAUGGC